Molecule: long non-coding RNA, 794 nt
Organism: Felis catus (domestic cat)
Lineage: Eukaryota; Metazoa; Chordata; Mammalia; Carnivora; Felidae
Exons: 3
Source: RefSeq, a predicted model, not a curated record
CCCCAGCUGACUCCUUUUCAGCUCUUGAUAGAUGUUUCCUGUCUCUGGUGGAACAGGUCCUAUAUUAAGAGGUCUUUUCAGUAAGAUAGCUUCAUUUCCCUUCAGCUCUUCAGCCUCCUUUCUGCCCAGAGGAUUUGAGGAAAGAUGAUGAAACAAUGCAUUUUUUUCCUGAGGAUAAAAACUGCUGAGGAAUCAUUAAAACCUUAGAAAUAGUCAAAAUCCAUAGGAUAAAUCUCCAGAUUCCUAGAGGUCCAAAGGUCUUCCAAUACAGAAGAACCACACUCUAGAAAUUUGACUCACAGAAGCACACCUGUUUCUAACAUCCAUGAUGAGCUCCUGGACUUAAAGCCUGAGGCUGAUACUGGAACUUUAAGUAAUUUUAUGCCAUGUUUUAAAACUACCACAAACUACCUCUGAUCAGAAAUUAUUUAGCAUUCUUCUCUGUCUGCCUGUAAAUCUGUAUAUGCUUAAGCAAUAGAAAACGACAGAAGUAAAGCUUAGCCAGUAGUAGAGUUCCAUAGGCAUUAAAAAAGAAAAAAAAUAUAACAACAACUUCUAGACUUCACUCUCCAACACUCUAGGGAUGGUUGCUCUUGGAAUCCAGACACCAUGGACGCUAGGCAUCAAACCACUCUCUGAAGAAACCCACAUUGAGAUCAACAUCAGUUUCCCAGCCAUUUAGAGAAGUGAUGUGGAUCUUCCAGCCCCAGUUGAUCCACCACUCCUAGAUACUGCCUUCUGAAUUUAAAACUUGUGAAAAUAUUAAAGAUGUCUAUUUUAGUGUUAGUAGGUAA